CCAAAAUGACUAAUCCUCAAGAUAAUUCAGGAACCCCACCACCAGUGUCACUCAACACCACCUCAUCCUCUACUCCUCCUGUUGAACCCCUAAAACCCAGAUUUCAUCGAACAAAAAUGAUUGCUAGAAAAGCAGUGGCUACUGGACCUUUAAGAAAAUCCUUAUACGAGAAGCUAAAUGCAAGUCAAAAGAAGAAACCCCAAG
RNAcentral lists this long non-coding RNA (204 nucleotides) under Nicotiana benthamiana. Its description in RNAcentral is "long non-coding RNA (NBEN_LNC037532)". The record is from RNAcentral. Lineage: Eukaryota; Viridiplantae; Streptophyta; Magnoliopsida; Solanales; Solanaceae.